GCGAAACCCUAAUUUCUAACGCGGCCUCUCACUUUUCUGUAUAUAUAUGCAGACCAAAGCCUCUGUUACUCUCGUCCUGAUCUCUCUGCCUGCGUCGAUCAGGGAAAUUGAAAGAAAAGCUUUUGAAGAGAGAUUGGAUGAUGUUAGACACCGUUUGAAUGACCAAACAUAGAUCUCUGGAAAAUGAAUGACGAAGAAUGCACUAAUAAAGGGUCUAAACAAAUUGUAUGCUAAUAGUACCAAGUACGACUGGAAUGGCAAUGUCAAGCGAUCUAAAACUAGAUUUGUUAUCAAAAAUUAAAUUGGAAAAGGGGUAUUGAUCAUAAAGAAAAACCUCUACUUGUCUCAUGGAAUUCUUACGAUUUGGAGAUACACCAAAAGAAUGUGAUAACAACCUUUCUUAAUAAGUAACUGAAGCUAUCAUAAUUGAAAAGAAAAGUUAAAUGAGCUUCUGUUAAGGACAUAGCGAGUUCAAUGAUUUCAUAAUUGAUGUAAAGCAAACAAUGUCGAUUUGCUACAAAAUGAUUUGAGUAUUCUGCAUGACAUGAAAGGUUUUCACAGAAUUUCGAAAGAAGGCAUGGGAGAGGCAUCUGAUGUGAUGUGAAUUGUCGCGAAAGUUUUUAAUAUUCUCUUGUAAAAGCUUUAUCAAAAGAGUUUUACGGUUCUUAAUAUGCAUAAACAUUCAGCAG
Molecule: long non-coding RNA, 689 nt
Organism: Jatropha curcas
Lineage: Eukaryota; Viridiplantae; Streptophyta; Magnoliopsida; Malpighiales; Euphorbiaceae
Source: RefSeq, a predicted model, not a curated record